GACGAACGCUGGCGGCGUGCUUAACACAUGCAAGUCGACGACGCUACUGAGUAGCAAUAUUUAGUAGUGGAGUGGCGCAAGGGUGAGUAAUGUAUACGUAACCAACCCAUCGGAGACGGAUAACAUUUCGAAAGGGAUGCUAAAACGGCAUGAAGCCACGAUUUCGCAUGAGAUUGUGGUUAAAGAACCGGUAACAGGUUGCCGAUGGCUGGGCGUAUAUCCGAUUAGCUAGUUGGUAGUGUAAUGGACUACCAAGGCGACGAUCGGUAGCUGGUCUGAGAGGAUGAUCAGCCACACUGGCACUGAGACACGGGCCAGACUCCUACGGGAGGCAGCAGUGGGGAAUAUUGGGCAAUGCCCGCAAGGGUGACCCAGCAACGCCGCGUGGAGGAUGAAGGCCGUAAGGUUGUAAACUCUGACAAGCAGGGAAGAACGGCUAUGGUAAAAGGCCAUAGAAGGACGGUACCUGCCUGAAGCCCCGGCUAACUACGUG
This 493-nucleotide ribosomal RNA is filed under the name uncultured bacterium. RNAcentral describes it as "partial 16S ribosomal RNA". It matches the Rfam family "Bacterial small subunit ribosomal RNA", at positions 28 to 507 of the family's 1533-position model. The record is from RNAcentral.